GACAGAGGGUGCAAACGUUGUUCGGAAUUACUGGGCGUAAAGCGAGUGUAGGCGGUCCUCUAAGUCGGGUGUGAAAGCCCCGGGCUCAACCCGGGAAGUGCACUCGAAACUGGAGGGCUAGAGUAUCGGAGAGGUUGGUGGAAUUCUCGGUGUAGAGGUGAAAUUCGUAGAUAUCGAGAGGAACACCGGUGGCGAAGGCGGCCAACUGGACGAAUACUGACGCUGAGACUCGAAAGCGUGGGGAGCAAACAGG
This 253-nucleotide ribosomal RNA is filed under the name uncultured bacterium. RNAcentral's name for it is "partial 16S ribosomal RNA". It matches the Rfam family "Bacterial small subunit ribosomal RNA", at positions 524 to 776 of the family's 1533-position model. The record is from RNAcentral.